RNAcentral lists this long non-coding RNA (1413 nucleotides) under Apteryx owenii (little spotted kiwi). Its description in RNAcentral is "lncRNA (ENSAOWG00000017068.1)". The record is from RNAcentral. Lineage: Eukaryota; Metazoa; Chordata; Aves; Apterygiformes; Apterygidae.
AUGAAAAAAGCCACAAACACCAGAAGAACAUCCAGUAAUGUAAUGAACCAAGAGACAGAAGAAUAUGAACCUCCAAGCAUUUCUAGCAAACAUGUUGCACCUUCAUUUUGUGGAAAAUAUGACAAUUAUUAUCUGUCUGCAACAAGAUACACUUCUAAAUCUAAAAAGAAACCUGCUUGUGAAUGUUUUGUACAGAUGUGCACCCACAGAGCAACCAUCUCUGGUAACUCAGGAAAUGAUCAUGAGAAGCAAAUGCCAUCAAAUGCAGGCAGGAGUGGAGCUGGUAGACCUAACCAUACCGAUCCCUACUGGGGCCCUUCAAUUGCUGGCAUAGUGUUUGAUUUCAGUACGCUGUCUCCAAAGGAGCCCCUGGUUCUACCACACCAAACCCAGCGAAGGAAAAAACACCAGCGGCUCCAAAGAGAAAAUCAGUCAGCCACCACCAUUCAGGCUGUGUGGAGAGGCUAUCGAGUCCGGAGGGAAGUGGAUGAAAUGAAUAAGGCCGCUACCAGGAUUCAGGCGGCUUAUCGAAGCCACAGGACGCGGCAGCAAUUGCCCCUCGCGUUUUACAGUUACUUUGGCCAUAAAAAAUUUGCACUGAAUCGGAAGAAGGAAGCAGAAAGCAAGGCGAUGGCAGGCCCUGCCGUCUCAAAGUGCCACCCGUACCGGGGUAGGGGCCUCCAGGCACCAGGUGAUACCAGUGAGAAUGAGAGUCUGAGAGCUCCACACAGAGAGAGACACGACCCAAGCUCUUUUGUUAUCCCCAGAGCGCUCAUCUUCAAAAGAGAGUCUUCUCUUACGCUCAGCAAUGAAGUUUUGGCCCCUGCUAACAGGCCCUCACCUGCCUGUGAAGUCUUCCAGGCCUUGGCACCUGAGCAGCAAAACCAUGAUGCUGCAGAUAACAUCCAGGCUGCAAGGAGAGGGAACCAAAGCAGAAAGGAGCUUAGUAAAAUGGCAAGACAGGCCACAAAGACAGCAGAGCAGAGCCAGAUCUUGGCUUACAGUAAUCAAUGCAGACCAAACAGUCAUGAAAAUUAUCAAAUUUCACGGGCAUUUAAUGACGCCAACAUUCAGGUGUUGACCCAGGAGCCCCAAGACGUGGUGCAAUAUCCUGAACUGGACCCUGUUGUAAUGUUGGGACUGAGUAAGGGAAGCAGAGAGUCUAAUGCAGAGGGCAAUGCACCGUCUAUUAGAAAUGUUAACGUAUACAGUGCUGAAGAACAUGCCGGCCUCCAGAAGGUCCUCAAUCUCCCUCCAGGUGUCCAGCCCCAAUGCAACAGUGGAAGGAUUUCAGAGGGGAACAGGCAGAGUGCAGCUGCGUGGGCUGUACACCGUCAGAAGACACAGCGGCUCGAAGCCUUCUCAAGUCUGCAUUCAAGUAAACGUGGUGGAAAUGGGAAUGACAGCGGGUAG